This is a transfer RNA of Felis catus (domestic cat), 85 nucleotides long. It matches the Rfam family "tRNA". Rfam says of the family: Transfer RNA (tRNA) molecules are approximately 80 nucleotides in length. Their secondary structure includes four short double-helical elements and three loops (D, anti-codon, and T loops). The record is from Rfam. Lineage: Eukaryota; Metazoa; Chordata; Mammalia; Carnivora; Felidae.
GCCUGGGUGGCUCAGUCGGUUAAGCAUCUGACUUCAGCUCAGGUCACAAUCUCACGGUUUGUGAGUUCGAGCCCCACAUCAGGCU